CCUUCGAUAGCUCAGUUGGUAGAGCGGUGGACUGUAGCGAAAGUGGCGAUCGAGCAGUGGUGGAACUUCACCCCCAGUUAGUGAUCGUCACGUGGUAGUAGUAGUAAUCCAUAGGUCACUGGUUCAAAUCCGGUUCGAAGGA
RNAcentral lists this transfer RNA (142 nucleotides) under Anopheles farauti. RNAcentral describes it as "tRNA tRNA-Tyr". It matches the Rfam family "tRNA". Rfam says of the family: Transfer RNA (tRNA) molecules are approximately 80 nucleotides in length. Their secondary structure includes four short double-helical elements and three loops (D, anti-codon, and T loops). Lineage: Eukaryota; Metazoa; Arthropoda; Insecta; Diptera; Culicidae. The record is from RNAcentral.